AGUGAACGCUGGCGGUAGGCCUAACACAUGCAAGUCGAACGGCAGCACAGUAAGAGCUUGCUCUUACGGGUGGCGAGUGGCGGACGGGUGAGGAAUACAUCGGAAUCUACCUUUUCGUGGGGGAUAACGUAGGGAAACUUACGCUAAUACCGCAUACGACCUACGGGUGAAAGCAGGGGAUCUUCGGACCUUGCGCGAUUGAAUGAGCCGAUGUCGGAUUAGCUAGUUGGCGGGGUAAAGGCCCACCAAGGCGACGAUCCGUAGCUGGUCUGAGAGGAUGAUCAGCCACACUGGAACUGAGACACGGUCCAGACUCCUACGGGAGGCAGCAGUGGGGAAUAUUGGACAAUGGGCGCAAGCCUGAUCCAGCCAUACCGCGUGGGUGAAGAAGGCCUUCGGGUUGUAAAGCCCUUUUGUUGGGAAAGAAAAGCAGCAGGUUAAUACCCCGCUGCUCUGACGGUACCCAAAGAAUAAGCACCGGCUAACUUCGUG
This 492-nucleotide ribosomal RNA is filed under the name uncultured bacterium. RNAcentral describes it as "partial 16S ribosomal RNA". It matches the Rfam family "Bacterial small subunit ribosomal RNA", at positions 29 to 507 of the family's 1533-position model. The record is from RNAcentral.